This 425-nucleotide ribosomal RNA is filed under the name uncultured bacterium. RNAcentral describes it as "partial 16S ribosomal RNA". It matches the Rfam family "Bacterial small subunit ribosomal RNA", at positions 354 to 796 of the family's 1533-position model. The record is from RNAcentral.
GUUAGGAAUAUUGGACAAUGGGCGCAAGCCUGAUCCAGCCAUGCCGCGUGAGUGAUGAAGGCCUUCGGGUUGUAAAGCUCUUUAGCCGAUGAUUAUAAUGACUGUAGUCGGAAAAUAAGCCCCGGCUAACUUCGUGCCAGCAGCCGCGGUAAUACGAAGGGGGCGAGCAUUAUUCGGAAUCACUGGGCGUAAAGCGUGCGUAGGCGGCUUUGCAAGUUGGGAGUGAAAGCCCAGGGCUCAACCCUGGAAUUGCUCUCAAAACUGCAAGGCUCGAAUUCGGGAGAGGAUAGCGGAAUUGUCAGUGUAGCAGUGAAAUGCGUAGAUAUUGACAGGAACACCAGUGGCGUAAGCGGCUAUCUGGACCGAUAUUGACGCUGAGGCACGAAAGCGUGGGGAUCAAACAGGAUUAGAUACCCCGGUAGUCC